Molecule: RNA transcript, 1482 nt
Organism: Octodon degus (degu)
Lineage: Eukaryota; Metazoa; Chordata; Mammalia; Rodentia; Octodontidae
Gene name: E3 ubiquitin-protein ligase Mdm2 pseudogene
Exons: 1
Source: RefSeq, a predicted model, not a curated record
UACCAACAUGUCUGUGUCUACUGAUGGUGUGGUAAGCACUUCACAGAUUCCUGCUUCGGAACAAAAGACCCCGGUUAGACCAAAGCCAUUACUUUUAAAGUUACUAAAGUCUGUUGGUGCCUCAAAAGACAUUUAUACUAUGAAAGAGGUCAUAUUUUAUCUUGGCCAGUAUAGUAUGGCUAAAAGAUUGUAUGAUGAGAAACAGCAACAUAUCGUGUAUUGUUCGAAUGAUCUUCUAGGAGAUUUGUUUGGAGUUUCAAGCUUCUCUGUGAAAGAGCACAGGAAAAUAUAUACCGUGAUCUACAGAAACUUGAUAGUACUCUAUCAGCAGGAACCAUCAGACUCUGGUACAUCUAUGAGUGAGGACACCUAUCUCCCUGAAGAGGGGAGUGACCAAGAAGACCCUGAGUGAGAUCUACAAGAAAGGAGUCCUUCAUCUUCAGAUUUGGUUCCUACACCAUCUACCUCAUCUAGGAGGAGAACAAUUAGUGAGACAGAAGAAAGCUCAGAUGAAUGGUCUGGUGAAUGAUGAAGAAAACGCCACAAAUCAGAUAGUAUUUCCCUUUCUUUUGAUGCAAGCUUGGCUGUGUGUGUACUAAGGGAGAUUCGUUGUGAAAGAAGUAAUAGCAGGGACUCGACAGAGACUCCAUCAAAUCUGGACCUGGAUGAUGGUGUAAGUGAACAUUCAGGUGAUUGGUUGGAUCAGGGUUCAGUUUCUGAUCAAUUCAGUGCAGAAUUUAAAGUUGAGUCUCUUGAUUCAGAAGGUUAUAGUCUUAGUGCAGAAGCACAAGAACUCUCAGAUGAAGAUGAUGAGGUAUAUCGAGCUACUGUGUUUAAGACAGGAGAAAGUGAUACAGAUUCAUUUGAAGAAGAUCCUGAAAUUUCCUUAGCUGACUAUUGGAAGUGUACUUUAUGCCGUGAAAUGAAUCCUCCCCUUCCGUCACACUGCAACAGAUGUUGGGCCCUUCGUGAGAACUGGCUUCCUGAACAUAAAGGGAAGGAUAAGGGAGGAUCUCUGAAAAAAAAACCAGAUAAAAAAUUCAACACAGGCAGAUGAGGGCUUGGGUGUACCUGAUGGUAGAAAGACUUUGGCAAAUGAUUCUAGAGUCAUUUGUUGAAGAAAGUAAUGAUAAAUCCAUAUAAGCCUCCCUGUCACAAAAAGGUGAGGACUACUCUCAGCCAUCAACUUCUGGUAGUAUUAUUAAUAGCAGCCAAGAAGAUGUUAAAGAGUUUGGGAAGGAAGAAACACAAGACAAAGAAGAUAGCGUGGAAUCUGGUUUUCCCCUUAAUGCCAUUGAACCUUGUGUGAUUCGCCAAGGUCGACCUCAAAAUGGUUACAUUGUUCAUGGCAAAACAGGACACCUUAUGUCAAGUUUCACAUGUGCAAAGAAGCUGAAGAAAAGAAAUAAGCCCUGCCCAGUGUGCAGACAAGCAAUUCAAAUGAUUGUGCUAACUUAUUUCAACUAGCUGACAUCCAUAAAA